Molecule: long non-coding RNA, 351 nt
Organism: Neofelis nebulosa (Clouded leopard)
Lineage: Eukaryota; Metazoa; Chordata; Mammalia; Carnivora; Felidae
Exons: 3
Source: RefSeq, a predicted model, not a curated record
GAGUUGCAAAACGGAAACAGUCUGGAUUGUUCAGACUUUAGUUAGAGCAAAGUUCUUGUAGAAGAGCCACCUGAGCCACACUGGAUAUGAUGUGAAUGAGAAACAAACCUUGUGGAUGGAAAAGGUCGUGUCCUGCGUAAGCAUACCUUUCACAUCACAUCUCUGUCAGGACCAUGUUGAGGCACCUGGGUGGCUCAGUCGUUUGAGUGUCCUACUUUGGCUCGGGUCAUGAUCUGAAGGUUUGUGGGUUCGAGCCCCGCAUCAGACUCCCUGCUGUCAGCUCAGAGCCUUCUUUGGAUCUUCUGUUCCCCUCUCUCUCUGUCCCUCCUGCCCCCCUACCCCUCGGCUUGU